CGCUAGCGGCGUGCCUAACACAUGCAAGUCGAGCGAGAAAGGGCUUCGGCCUCAGUAAAGCGGCGCACGGGUGAGUAACACGUGGGUAACCGUACCCUCGGGUGGGGAAUAACGGGCCGAAAGGCGGGCUGAUACCGCAUAUGGCCUAAGGGUCAAAGCAGCAAUGUGCCUUGAGAUGAGCCUGCGGCCCAUUAUUUAAUCCUAGUUGGCGGGGUAAUGGCCCACCAAGGGUACGAUGGGUAGCUGGUCUGAGAGGACGAUCAGCCACACUGGGACUGAGACACGGCCCAGACUCCUACGGGAGGCAGCAGUGGGGAGUAUUGCGCAAUGGGCGAAAGCCUGACGCAGCCAACCCGCGUGUGUGAUGAAGGCCUUCGGGUUGUAAAGCACUGUCGUGAGGGAAGAAGAUCUGACGGUACCUCACAAGAAAGCACCGGCUAACCCCGUG
RNAcentral lists this ribosomal RNA (448 nucleotides) under uncultured bacterium. RNAcentral describes it as "bacterial SSU rRNA". It matches the Rfam family "Bacterial small subunit ribosomal RNA", at positions 34 to 507 of the family's 1533-position model. The record is from RNAcentral.